UCUCUCUCUCCACUCGCCGCCUCGCCCCGCCCUGCCCGCACACACCACCUGUCCCCGCCCCGCUCCGCUCCCGAGGCUUAGGGCUCCGGCCGCGCUCCCCUCCCCUCACCGCAUUCCCGAUCUCGCCGCCGCCCGCCAGGCCUCGGCCUCGAUCGCCCUCCCCCCUCGCGCGCCGGCCGGGUCGGGUUGUCUCGUCGUUGGUGCCCGUUUGCCCCCCGCGAUGGUGUCGGGCGGGUGCGUGGGGCCGGAGGGGGAGGUGGGCCCGGAGGUGGCGGCGGCGGUGGCGGAAAGGGACGAGGCGGUGGCUCCGGCGCCCGCGAGGGAGCUCGUGGUGGGGUACGCGCUCACGUCGAAGAAGGCCAAGAGCUUCCUCCAACCCAAGCUCCGGGGGCUCGCCAGGAAAAAAGGAAUCUUAUUUGUCGCUAUUGAUCACAAACGCCCAUUGUCCGACCAAGGUCCAUUUGACAUUGUUCUUCAUAAGUUGACUGGAAAGGGUUGGCAGCAAUUGCUAGAGGAAUAUAGGGAAACACACCCAGAAGUUACUGUUCUUGAUCCACCUGGUGCAAUAGCACAUUUGCUCGAUCGCCAGUCCAUGCUUCAAGAAGUUUCUGAAUUGGACCUCACAGACCGUUACGGUAAAGUACGUGUUCCUAAGCAGCUAUUUGUUAAUACAGAUCCCUUGUCAAUACCAGCUGCAGUUACUAGGGCUGGACUAUCUCUUCCAUUAGUGGCGAAACCCUUGGUGGCAAAAUCUCAUGAGCUAUCUCUUGCUUAUGAUCCAACUUCAUUGACCAAGCUUGAGCCGCCCUUGGUUCUUCAGGAGUUUGUUAACCAUGGUGGCGUCAUGUUUAAGGUCUACAUUGUAGGGGAUGCAAUAAGGGUUGUACGUCGGUUUUCACUUCCUAAUGUUGAUGAAGGUGAUCUAUCAAAUAAUGCUGGGGUAUUUCGGUUUCCAAGGGUCUCUUGUGCUGCAGCCAGUGCAGAUGAUGCAGAUCUUGACCCUUGUGUUGCUGAACUUCCUCCAAGACCAUUGCUCGAGAUAUUGGCGCGAGAGCUGCGCCGACGGCUGGGUCUUAGAUUGUUCAACAUCGAUAUGAUCAGAGAGCAUGGAACAAGAGAUCGGUUUUAUGUUAUAGACAUGAACUAUUUUCCUGAGUAAUGCUCUGACACUCCUGUGAAAUACUGAAAAGAGGUAUAUCUGCUCCUUUUAUCAGCUCAAUAUAGUUGUUGAUGAUAGGGAUACUGAGCAUUUGAGGCACUAAACGAGUAUAUGAUGCAUUUGCUUGUGACAUUUGUACCAUGUGCCAUUUGUAAAGCUUUUAGAAACAGUUUGGAGUCCAAAGACUGGCUAGAACCUGGCACAUCGAAGUUAUGCCUGCUCACCGUGUAUUCUUGGUACGGCAAAAUGCCUGGGUACGAGCACGUGUUCACUGACUUUCUACUGAGUCUUUCCCAGAAAGAGUACAAGCGGCGACCAAGCUAUAGCUCAGGCGAAUGGUGAAAAUGCUGAAUGAGCCUUUUGGCCGGGUCACUGUUGAUAUGUCUAGCAUCCGCAAUGCGUGCGUACAGAUGUGCUUCUCCAUUCGUGGGAGAUGAUGAUGGGUGAUAGAGUUGGGCAUCAGUAGUUGCGAUAAAAAGCUUCGAGGACUGUUGUCAGGCUGUAAUUAACUUGCUGCUUCACAUUUGCUAACUGUUCAUGUCCUAGAAUAAUUUUGUUUCGCUCAGUGAUGGCUGAUGAAGUAGAGCUACCUGUAAAACUCACGGCUUGAAUCUCGAAAUAAGCGGGGCCGAUCUGCAUCAACAUUUUACUA
Setaria italica (foxtail millet) is the source of this 1811-nucleotide RNA transcript. It is a transcript of the gene named inositol-tetrakisphosphate 1-kinase 3, with no coding region annotated. The transcript has 11 exons. Lineage: Eukaryota; Viridiplantae; Streptophyta; Magnoliopsida; Poales; Poaceae. The record is from RefSeq and is a predicted model, not a curated record.